RNAcentral lists this ribosomal RNA (112 nucleotides) under Staphylococcus epidermidis. RNAcentral's name for it is "partial 16S ribosomal RNA". It matches the Rfam family "Bacterial small subunit ribosomal RNA", at positions 1429 to 1533 of the family's 1533-position model. The record is from RNAcentral. Lineage: Bacteria; Bacillati; Bacillota; Bacilli; Caryophanales; Staphylococcaceae.
GGUGGAGUAACCAUUUGGAGCUAGCCGUCGAAGGUGGGACAAAUGAUUGGGGUGAAGUCGUAACAAGGUAGCCGUAUCGGAAGGUGCGGCUGGAUCACCUCCUUUCUAAGGA